GGUUGUGUGGCUCAGUGGUUAUGCUGCACUCUUGCAUUGUGCCCCCAGUGGUCGCCGGUUCGACUCAGGCAGAAGUCA
Mycena galericulata is the source of this 78-nucleotide non-coding RNA. Lineage: Eukaryota; Fungi; Basidiomycota; Agaricomycetes; Agaricales; Mycenaceae. The record is from the annotation of a GenBank genome assembly.